UCACGGCACCGCGGCUCUCCGCGCCCCUCGGAGCCGCUCAAUGCGGACACGCCGGGGCCGGGAGCUGCCCUGGCCCGGGAACAUCUGAGUAGCGGCUGGAGGAGAGUGAGGCAGGCAUCCCGAGAAGGUCUCCAGCUUCCCAAAGAGGUUUCCAGCAACGUCCUCCCCCCUUGCCUCCUCUCGGCUUGUUUUUCUCUAAGUCCAGGGAAGUUUCGCCACUCCUCGAGAUCCUGAGGCGCCGCCGCAGGUUAAGUAAAAUGCCGAGAAAUGCAGGGAGAGUGCUCUGAAAUAUUGUUUUUCUAACUUCUAGAAGGAAAACAGAGAGCAGUGACCGCUUCAGGCAACAGCAACAAACUGCAUUGGGAUCAGGCAAGAGAUGUAGAGACCUCACCCCCUCCCAAAGGAGCAUCUCAUCACCAGCUCCCAUGCCCGCAGACAUGGCAAUGCAGACAUCCCAUGGAUUAAGCUGUACCCUGAAAGGAAAGCAGGUUGGCUGCAGCACAUAUUGAGAGAGGUGAUUCUCCCCCUCUGCCCUCAUGAGACCUGCCUUGGAGUGCUGCAUCCAGGUCUGGGGUCCUCAGCACAGGAAUGACAUGGACCUGUCAGAGCAGGUCCAGAGGAGGCCACAGAGCUGAUCCUCCUGGGGCUGGAGCACCUCUUCUGUGUGGACAGUCUGAGAGAGAACUGUUCAGCCUGCAGCAGAGAAAGCUUUGGAGAGAUCUUAGAGCCCCUUCCAAACCAUACAAUGUUUAGAAUUUGGAAUGGACCUUAAAGAUCAUUCUGUCCCAAGGCCUCUUGCCAUGAGCAGGGACACCUCCCACUAGACCAGACUGCUCAAGGCUUUAUCCAACCUGGCUUUAAACACUUCCAGGGCUGGGACAACUCCAACCUCCCUAGGCAACAUGUUCCAGUGUCUCACCACCCUCACAGUACAAGAAGGCUUUGGGGUUGGGUCAUAUUUUGCAGCCCCUGCCUGCAUUUGCUGCCGGGUGAGACGAAGGUGUCUGAGAGAGUGCGUGAUUGAACCUGGACAUCACACCCGCCAUCAGGAGAGCGGGAGGAGCUGGGCAGCCGCGGCUGGCACACCACAGUAGGCAUGAAAUCGCCACUCGUAUAUUGUAUUUUCCCUUAAGACUGCCCCGUCACGGAGGCCCCGGGGCCUUUGAGCCGCACCCGCCCCGCCGGGGGCUCCCUGAGGGGA
Long non-coding RNA from Melospiza melodia melodia, 1201 nucleotides. RefSeq lists it as uncharacterized. The record is from RefSeq and is a predicted model, not a curated record. The transcript has 4 exons. Lineage: Eukaryota; Metazoa; Chordata; Aves; Passeriformes; Passerellidae.